GUGUCAGCAGCCGCGGUAAUACGAAGGGGGCUAGCGUUGUUCGGAUUUACUGGGCGUAAAGCGCACGCAGGCGGCUUAUCAAGUCAGAGGUGAAAUCCCGGGGCUCAACCUCGGAACUGCCUUUGAAACUGGUAAGCUAGAGUUCGGGAGAGGAUAGUGGAAUUCCUAGUGUAGCAGUGAAAUGCGUAGAUAUUAGGAGGAACACCGAUGGCGAAGGCAGCUAUCUGGCCCGAUACUGACGCUCAUGUGCGAAAGCGUGGGGAGCAAACAGGAUUAGAAACCCGCGUAGUCC
RNAcentral lists this ribosomal RNA (292 nucleotides) under uncultured bacterium. RNAcentral's name for it is "partial 16S ribosomal RNA". It matches the Rfam family "Bacterial small subunit ribosomal RNA", at positions 505 to 796 of the family's 1533-position model. The record is from RNAcentral.